Molecule: long non-coding RNA, 313 nt
Organism: Helianthus annuus (common sunflower)
Lineage: Eukaryota; Viridiplantae; Streptophyta; Magnoliopsida; Asterales; Asteraceae
Exons: 3
Source: RefSeq, a predicted model, not a curated record
AAUUGGGCUAAAAUCUUAUGCAUGAGUUAAGAACUAAGAUCACCUAAGUGUUCUUGACAUCAAGCAUGAAGGAGGAAGGUACAAGCCUAACCGGUUCGCAAGCAACGCAAAACAAAGGUGAAUCUCACUCUUGAUAAUGGCGAGCUUGGAUCGAACACACCACAUCGCCCUUUAUGCGCUUCCGGUUUAGUCGUCUUUGUAAAUGGGUCAAAACACUUUCAUAAUGUAAAUGCUAAGUUUAUGUCUAAGAUGUUUCGUAAGUAAAUUAGGAUUUUAAAUCUUAUUUUUGGUAGUUCGGACAAAACACUUUUGA